RNAcentral lists this ribosomal RNA (154 nucleotides) under uncultured archaeon. RNAcentral describes it as "partial 16S ribosomal RNA". It matches the Rfam family "Archaeal small subunit ribosomal RNA", at positions 315 to 473 of the family's 1478-position model. The record is from RNAcentral.
UCCAGGCCCUACGGGGCGCACCAGGCGCGGAACGUCCCCAAUGCGCGAAAGCGUGAGGGCGCUACCCCGAGUGCCCCCGCAAGGGGGCUUUUCCCCGCUCUAAAAAGGCGGGGGAAUAAGCGGGGGGCAAGUCUGGUGUCAGCCGCCGCGGUAA